GCCAGGUGCAGUGUGCACACCUGUAAUCCCAUUGACUCUGGAGGCCGAGGCAGGAGGAUCACAAGUUGAAGGUCAGCUUGGGCAACUUAACAGGAUCCUGUCUCAA
Molecule: small RNA, 106 nt
Filed under: Marmota monax (woodchuck)
Lineage: Eukaryota; Metazoa; Chordata; Mammalia; Rodentia; Sciuridae
Source: RNAcentral